RNAcentral lists this ribosomal RNA (114 nucleotides) under Culicoidibacter larvae. Lineage: Bacteria; Bacillati; Bacillota; Culicoidibacteria; Culicoidibacterales; Culicoidibacteraceae. The record is from RNAcentral.
UCUGGUGACAAUGGCAAAGAGGACACACCCGUUCCCAUCUCGAACACGGAAGUUAAGCUCUUUAGCGCUGAUGGUACUUGGGUAUUGCCCUGGGAGAGUAAGACGUCGCCGGGC